This 249-nucleotide long non-coding RNA is filed under the name Mytilus galloprovincialis (Mediterranean mussel). Lineage: Eukaryota; Metazoa; Mollusca; Bivalvia; Mytilida; Mytilidae. The record is from RNAcentral.
AACGACUUUGGUGUAGUAUCGUCAUGUAAAGGCUGGCCAAAAUGUGCUUGCAGACGUGCGGAAAUGAUGAACUGUGCUGACACCGGUGAUCACGUGGUAGCUCAGUGGGUCUGUAUUCACCAAUCAGAGUGCAACGCUAGAAGUGACAGAAUAAAGAAAUACUACGAUGCUGGAGGAUGUAGUAGGGGAUUCGGCCAUGAGAGUAGAAAAUGCGGUGAUUGCAGUACACUCGGAUAAUUAAUGUUUAAA